AGAACGUAGCGAAAUGCGAGACUUGUGUGAAUUGCAGAAUCCCGUGAACCAUCGAGUCUUUGAACGCAA
RNAcentral lists this ribosomal RNA (69 nucleotides) under Alstroemeria inodora. Its description in RNAcentral is "partial 5.8S ribosomal RNA". It matches the Rfam family "5.8S ribosomal RNA", at positions 40 to 109 of the family's 154-position model. From Rfam's summary of the family: 5.8S ribosomal RNA (5.8S rRNA) is a component of the large subunit of the eukaryotic ribosome. It is transcribed by RNA polymerase I as part of the 45S precursor that also contains 18S and 28S rRNA. Functionally, it is thought that 5.8S rRNA may be involved in ribosome translocation. Lineage: Eukaryota; Viridiplantae; Streptophyta; Magnoliopsida; Liliales; Alstroemeriaceae. The record is from RNAcentral.